RNAcentral lists this unclassified non-coding RNA (2323 nucleotides) under Leishmania donovani. RNAcentral's name for it is "gene:LdHU3.31.2550(CDS-product:hypothetical_prote in)". Lineage: Eukaryota; Euglenozoa; Kinetoplastea; Trypanosomatida; Trypanosomatidae. The record is from RNAcentral.
CAACGCGGGCGCACAUACAUGUACACGGCAAGAGACUGCCACACACAGACUGCCACACACGGGUGCAGGCAAGGGUACACCGCUGUGGGAGCUCCGGCAAACGCUAGAUCCUGAAAAGCACAUCAAGAGGACACUUCGGCCCCGCAUGCAGACAAGAUCGAUACAAACGCGGCUUCUUAUCAGCGUGCUGCUCUUGUGCUUGCCCGUGUGCGCCCUUGGAGGUGUCGCGAACUACGAUAGCUACACCGCAGCACACAAGGCCCGCACUUGCAAAUUUUUGAAGGCGCUUAUCGCGUCGUAUCCGUUGCUGGAGGAUUUUACGUUGGGCACCUCCCACCACUGGUCGUAUGUGGACAGCGCUAUGAUGGGCGUCCGUUUCUAUCCGGGUGUGAUCUCGGCCGCUGAUUUACUGCCAGCUGUGCCGCCGGAUGUGCCGGGCAGCAGCAACCACCUCACCUCUACCGGUAGCCAGCGCGCUGAAUAGAGUCUUAACGGUGCGCCUCCGCCGAGUUUUGGGGAGGGGCAUGCCAAGAGUGCAGUGCAUUUCCAUGUGCGAAAGUGUUCUUACCGGUACGGCCCUGGCCGAGUGGUGUGGCAGGCGCGAACUAACGUGGCUGCUGCUCUACAAAACCAGAUCAACUGGGCGCGGUCUCGACUGCCUUGAUUGCGCUGCGCUUUCUGACACAGGCAAAAAAAAAAACAAAGUGGGGUGGCGGUGGUGGCGGAACCGGUGGUGAUGGGAAGAGGGGGGAUAAACGGAGAUGUGCACGUCUGUGCUCUUCUCUGCCUUGCCAACUCUUCUUUUUUAAUUUCCGCUCUCACCAAAAGUGUCAGCCCUGCUUGUCUUCCUCGCGCUCAGUCCCUCACUAGUGGCUACAUUUUUCAUGCGCGACAGUUUUUCGUUUAGCAGGGCUGCGCAGCUUCCGUUUGUCGCGUUUCCCCAGUUGUGUUAUCACUAGCCUUGAGCUUUCCCCUCUGUCUAUACAUAUAUAUGUAUUCCCAUUGGCGCUGCCGAUCGUCCUGACGAUAAAUAAAGUGGCGGUGAUGUGGUCAACUGGGUUUGAAGAGGACGGAGAAAACACACACACACACACACACGCACACAGUGUAUCAAGGGCGGUCGAUGAUCAAGCAAACAAAGAGAGGUUAUCCUCCGUUUCACGCCGAACUUUACCUUCCCUCGCUUCCCUCCCGUUGCGCCGCGCACCCGUGCCCGCUCGCUCACUCGAUGCAGACAAUCUUUUACAAAACAGCGCGUACGUGUUGCACCCUUGAUCUUUUCCUCCUUCGCCUGCUCCUUCCCCCUUCCAUGGCAUAGUUUCGUUACCAUGGAGGGAUUUCUUAUAUAUAUAUAUUCAUUAUUAUUAUUUUAUGAUCUGUGUUUUGUUACUGUUUCAUCUCUUCGUUUGUUGAGUUGUGCGUACCUGUGCGCGCCUUGUAGUUUGUUGUUUUCUCGAACGGCCACCGACGCCUCCCCUUUUUUAUCACGUUCUUUUACAUCCACGCUGCCGUGUCCUCACAUGCUUUCCUCAACGAAAUACUUUGCGUUUUUGUUUUGUUUUCGUUUUACGCGAUGUGGUGUGAAGUGCGCGCGCUUCUUCGUGUGCUCGCGCGGUGCAAGUCAGACGGCGCCUACAACUGUCUGUAAAGGUUUUACACUCACCGUGUGGGUGUGGGUCGGGGAAGGGGGAGGGGGCGGGCUCACAUGAGUUCCGUCAGCACCCAUAUGCAUUCGCGUGCCCACAUAUGCGGACAGUUGUUCUGGUGUGUUUCCCUUCUCUUUUCAUGUGACUUGUAACGGUUUGCUGGGUGUCUUUUUUCCUUUUCUGCUGCUUCCUUCUCGUUGGCGAUGCGCCAUCUUUUCUGUUUUGUGUGUUUCGUCCAUCCCCUUCCACCCCCUCUGACUCUGCCUGUGUCUGUCCGUCUCUCAAUGUGUGGGGUAGUCGAACUCAUCCCCCGCAGUGCAUCGCGCACGCCCUGCCUAGCAGACGGCUAACUGGAGGGGGUGUGAUGCGAAACAUGGCACCAAAGGAAAAGGAGUGGUGCGCCGCGUAAAGGUAGAGACGGCGACUCGCUCUAGACAUAUAAUGUUUUGCACGCUUUUAGGUGGACAGCGUAGCACAGAAAGGAAGUUGAUCGGAAAGCAGACGGCAUGCAUCCACAUGCGUCUUCUUCACACACUGAAAAAGAAGUCGCGGAACUCAUGGGAAAAGCGAAGGGCCUGCCCGAAACGGAUAUUAUGAACGGGGCUCGAUGACGACGGCGCCAACGUCCACCGGCGGAACAAUACGCGGAAUAGUUGGGGGCGGCAACCUCUCAAAAU